GCCGCCGCUACCGUUACCGCUACCGCUACCGCUCUGCAACCACCCCCAAUCCCCCAGCAGACGCAUAGGGGGCGUGUACGAGCCCCCGUGCCUCUUCCUUCCGCUCUGCACUGCUUCGUUCCGUGCCUUACCGUACUACACACACACACACACGCAAACACACACAUCCUGCCUGCCUGCGAGCCAUUCUGCCAACACCAGCCCUGCCAACCACCAACCCUGCCAACCGACCCUGCCACUCCUCGCUACGUCUAUCUCUUUCUUUCUCCCUCUCUUUACUUUCCCCUUCUCUCUCUCUCUCUCUCUGUCUUUCUGUGUCUGUGUGUGCGUGUGUGUUUUUUCUUUUCUCUCUUUUUCUUUCUAACUUUCUUGCCUUUUGCAAGAAGACGAACCACGUGUGCGAGGCUGCUUUUCAUGGCUAGACGAGCUCUCGAUGUCAUCGUUGCCGACGACACUGACGACGAUGAAGGAGCUGACCCGAUGGAUAAGGAGGAGAAGGAGGAGAGGAGGAGGUGGGAAUAAGGUCAGGACUAGUGGACACGGAGGAUCGUGUCUAGCUUUGUGCUUCAAGUUUGAGGUGUCUGGUCUACGUUAAUCUAUUCGAGAUGUUAUGAUAGAUGGUAGGUGUUUGUUUUUUUUUUAUUUUUUUACUAUGUGACCGAACAGGUGAAAAUGAGGAACGUUUAUUAAUUCAAUUCUCAAUAUGUUGGUGUACACUUGUGCAAAUAUCCGACUAUAAAUGCAUUACUUUCUAAGAAAUCUAUAAACUAUUAUGUUGAUAUAGAAAUAAGCUAAUAAUAUGGGUAAUGAUAAUACUCAAUAAAUGUGUUGUUCAAUAAUCGUUUCAUAGAAAUAUUAUGAAAAUAUAUAUCUAAGGAGAUAAAAUAAACUAAUCGGAUUAAUAAUGACAGAGAGAGAGGGAGAGAGAGAAGUCGAGUGAAAGAUGAGUUAUUGUUUAAAAAGCAUGUAAAAGGACAUAACGCACGGGGUCGUGGCAGGCACCUGUCUUCGGAAGUACACGCUUCUGGCAUAAUGGAGAAAGCAACUGAGAAAGAGAGGGG
Polistes canadensis is the source of this 1061-nucleotide long non-coding RNA. RefSeq lists it as uncharacterized. NCBI's taxonomy places the organism in Eukaryota, Metazoa, Arthropoda, Insecta, Hymenoptera, Vespidae. The transcript has 2 exons. The record is from RefSeq and is a predicted model, not a curated record.